This 309-nucleotide unclassified non-coding RNA is filed under the name Aureimonas jatrophae. Its description in RNAcentral is "Long range pseudoknot". Lineage: Bacteria; Pseudomonadati; Pseudomonadota; Alphaproteobacteria; Hyphomicrobiales; Aurantimonadaceae. The record is from RNAcentral.
ACCAAGAUGAAGGCGGUGCGCCGCUUCUUCGAGGAAGGCGACAAGGUCAAGGUCACGUUGCGCUUCCGGGGCCGCGAGAUGGCGCACCAGGAGCUGGGCAUGCAGCUCCUCAGCCGCGUGCGCGAGGAGACCGCCGAGAUCUCAAAGGUCGAGGCCGAGCCCAAGCUCGAGGGUCGCCAGAUGAUGAUGGUGCUCGCGCCCAAGGGCUGAGCACGGGCAGGGCGCCUUUGCGCCUCGCCAGACAUGGGCGGGCCCUUCGCGGCCCGCCUCUUUCGUUUCGAGACAGCUGAUUGCGUUUCCUGUGACGCA